AAAAACUUAGGUUAAUAAAACCAAGAGCCUUCAAAGCUCUAAAUAAGGGCCCACCUCCCUUAGUUUUUG
Molecule: transfer RNA, 69 nt
Filed under: Anolis laeviventris
Lineage: Eukaryota; Metazoa; Chordata; Lepidosauria; Squamata; Anolidae
Description: tRNA-Trp
Rfam family: tRNA
About the family: Transfer RNA (tRNA) molecules are approximately 80 nucleotides in length. Their secondary structure includes four short double-helical elements and three loops (D, anti-codon, and T loops).
Source: RNAcentral